Long non-coding RNA from Corapipo altera (White-ruffed manakin), 706 nucleotides. RefSeq lists it as uncharacterized. The record is from RefSeq and is a predicted model, not a curated record. The transcript is spliced from 3 exons. Lineage: Eukaryota; Metazoa; Chordata; Aves; Passeriformes; Pipridae.
CCCGUCUUCCCUAUUAGGAAGCUAUUUGGGGUUUCUGGGGUUAUAGGUAUAUAGUAUUCUCACUGUAUAUAUCUGUUUUAUAUGUAAAAUAUAUAUUUUUGCUAUAGCUUUGGCUGUUUGGUUUUUCUUUUUUUUUUUUUCUUCUCUCCUUGGGAAACAGACUCUGUUGUUGAGUUUCGGAGACUUGGCAGGAAGCCAGCUCUAAACUUGCACAAGGUUACAGAUAGGUGGCUUCAACUACUGCGUUUGCAUCUCUUUGUGGUUGUAAGUUUUCCGGUGUCUUCCCAUUUUUGACCACGCUUUCUUCCUAUGCUCUCAUACAGAAGAUGAUCAGGAAGCUGACUAAUUUACUUCUCUGUGGAAGCUAUGAAAUGGACUUUAAAAGUCACAGCAUGAACCAUGGAUUUCAAAGUGGUCUGUACAAGCUGUAGGGGUCCAGUUGUGCACAUCUCACAAUGGGACUCUAGCUCAGUCUUCAAUGACUGACAGAAAGAUGCAUCAGAGGAAAUUCUUGUCAUAUGCAAUUCUCAGCAGUCCCUGUUGAACAAUAACUACAACACCCAACAAUGUGAGUUUUUGGAUGUAACUUCUUGGCAACAUUCCACUUCAGUCUGAGGAAAUGACUGAACCUCACUGGCAUGACUUUUUUGUGCUGAACCCAAGGCAAACACUGGAUGACUGUUUAGGUCAUUCCUUUGUAAAAUAC